RNAcentral lists this ribosomal RNA (813 nucleotides) under uncultured bacterium. Its description in RNAcentral is "bacterial SSU rRNA". It matches the Rfam family "Bacterial small subunit ribosomal RNA", at positions 36 to 849 of the family's 1533-position model. The record is from RNAcentral.
CUAGCGGCAGGCCUAAUACAUGCAAGUCGGACGGGAUUGGGGAGCUUGCUCCCCAUGAGAGUGGCGCACGGGUGCGUAACACGUAUGUAACCUACCUUUAUCAGGGGGAUAGCCUCUCGAAAGAGAGAUUAAGCCCGCAUAACAUUACACCAUGGCAUCAUGAAGUAAUCAAAUAUUUAUAGGAUAAAGAUGGGCAUGCGGAACAUUAGCUAGUUGGUAAGGUAACGGCUUACCAAGGUUACGAUGUUUAGGGGAUCUGAGAGGAUGACCCCCCACACUGGUACUGAGACACGGACCAGACUCCUACGGGAGGCAGCAGUAAGGAAUAUUGGUCAAUGGGCGGAAGCCUGAACCAGCCAUGCCGCGUGCAGGAAGACGGCCCUACGGGUUGUAAACUGCUUUUAUACGGGAAUAAACCUUCGUAUGUAUACGAAGCUGAAUGUACUGUAAGAAUAAGGAUCGGCUAACUCCGUGCCAGCAGCCGCGGUAAUACGGAGGAUCCAAGCGUUAUCCGGAUUUAUUGGGUUUAAAGGGUGCGUAGGCGGCCUAUUAAGUCAGGGGUGAAAGACGGUAGCUUAACUAUCGCAGUGCCUUUGAUACUGAUGGGCUUGAAUAUACUUGAGGUAGGCGGAAUGUGACAAGUAGCGGUGAAAUGCAUAGAUAUGUCACAGAACACCAAUUGCGAAGGCAGCUUACUAAAGUAUGAUUGACGCUGAGGCACGAAAGCGUGGGGAUCAAACAGGAUUAGAUACCCUGGUAGUCCACGCCCUAAACGAUGAACACUCGAUGUUGGCGAUAUACGGUCAGCGUCUA